Long non-coding RNA from Sander lucioperca (pikeperch), 147 nucleotides. RefSeq lists it as uncharacterized. NCBI's taxonomy places the organism in Eukaryota, Metazoa, Chordata, Actinopteri, Perciformes, Percidae. The record is from RefSeq and is a predicted model, not a curated record. The transcript is spliced from 3 exons.
CUUUGCAUUUAUUCAAAACUGUUACAGUUUUUCUCAAUUGCUAAAACACUAAAACCCAUUGGCUGAACAAGGUUCUCAGUUGCCUGAACUCAUUUAGCUAACUGUGCGGUCUGUUGUCAAUACCUUAAACCAUUUCACAUGGUAAAA